GCCGGGCGGGGCGACCGUCGGGCGGAGGGCGGACACUUGUUGCCGGGAGGAGGCAGCGCCGAGGUCCUGCCGGCCCGGGGCAGCCUCUCCAGCCGGGCCGCCGGCGGGGCGGGAGGCCACCCCCGGGGACGCGGCGACGUCCCCGGCCGCCCUGCCGCGGUCCCCUCUGUCCCGGUUGGGGUGGGGGCGCGCUCCCCGAGGUCCCAGGUCCCCAGCACCUGCCGGGCCGCGCGCUGCGCGCCCAGGGGCUAGCUUUUCACCUGGGCUAGUAACCCCCUCCUAGCGACGCUCCAGUCCCCGGGUGUUAACUCGGGUGGGGAGGGGGGCGACGUAGUAGGAGACAAUCGGAGGAUGAAUUAGCUCCCCGAGCGGCCGGGGAGCUCGUAUCGUCACCUGGGGGCUUGGACCGUGCCGGGCACUUACUCCUUUGAGGAGGGGGUCGCCUCAUUCAUGGGGAGGAGGAAACAGACGUUGAGCGGCGACGUGACUCAGUGUUACAAACAGGACGGCGUCUCGGCAUUCUCAAUCUGCACGCCUGAAAGCAAAGCCAAUGUUUGGGUACUGUUUUAGGCCCAGUGGAUAGAGUGGUGAACACAGUGAGCUUCCUGAUUAUGUACUAGCAGUUGAGGAAGAGAUAGACAGUCAAAAAAAGUAAGUGAACAAGGUGAUUUCAGAUGGUGGUCAGUGCAGUGCAGGACAUACCCAGGAUGAUGUGAUCGGGAGUGACCAGGGAGAGGAGAGGGACUGGGUGGUAUCAGUCAGGGCCUAACAGGAACCCAGUGAUAUCGUCAGGGCCUAACAGGGACCCUAUGGUAUCAGUAAGGGCCUAACAGGGACCCUACGGUAUCAGUAAGGGCCUAACAGGGACCCUAUGGUAACCAAGAACUGGUUAACUGGGGCAGGACUGAGGGAGUCAGAGGGAGUGUUGGGAGGAAGUCGUAUUGCUGGAACCCUAGGAGAGGAGCCUCUUGGCAGGAGCUACAGACGUGGAGGGAUGGAAUUGAGAUGCUGAAGCCGCGAGUUGCAGGUAAGAAAUACCCCAGCUUGCCCCAGCUUUCUGAUCUCGUUGGCAGAGCCCAGCUGGCAGCCAGGAGGCCAGGGAGUCCAACCAAUGCAGUCCGUAGGUGGGUCAGCCUUCCAGGGCCCAGAGAAGAGUGGAGAGAGCAGAGAAUGGCUCUGGGAUCAGUGCAGGUAAAGAGGACGUGCGGAGAGGGUCAGCAUGCGGCCGCUUUAGACUGAGUGGCCCCGGAAGGCCACUCUGCACAGCUUGGACUUGCCUGGCAGGAAGAAGCUCCUCAUGUAGAUUUUGUGUGGCCGGUGUCCAGGCAGAGGGAAUAGCAAAUACAGAAGUUCCAGUGCAGGGAUGAACGAGUGUGUGCAGAGGGCCCAGUGAGGGCAGUGGUGGUGGCCGAGGUUGACGCAGCCGGGGAACGGUUCCACGGGAGCCUGGAGGCCCUGGGAGGGGUUCGGAUCCUGUUCUAGUUGCAAAGCUAGGUGGAGAAUGUCUUUGGGGGAAGGAGGUUGGGUGGGCAGGAGAGGAAGCAAAGAGGCCCCUUAGGAGGCUCUUGACUUUGGUUGUCAGGGGAGCUGUGAGGGUGUCUGGACUAGGGUGGAGACGUGGGAGACAGUGCCUAUCCUUUCCAUUUGGGGGUCAGGAGCCUCAGAAUGUGGACAGGGGGAGCUCCGUGCCUUGGUUGCCCAUCUCCAGGGUCCUGCAGAGACCGUUGGUAAGCCUUCCAGUAGAAAGAUAAAUUUCUCAUUUAGGUGAAACCAUUCCUCCAGGUGGGAAGAUGUGGCUUCUGAGAUUUCAGUCUGACGGCCUUAUUAUUUUGAAGGCCAUUCUUAUUAAAGCUGGAGUGUCACCUUUGGGUGGUGUAAUGAAAACAUGAUUCUACUUCAGGUCAGUGGUAUCUGACCCUUGAGUCGGCGGACCAUUGACUGCAUUGCCAACAAAAGUCCCUGUGCUGGUGGUGUGGCCACAUCCUCUCUUUAACCAGUCUGUUGGAGGAUCAUCUGGGUGAGUGAUGGUGUCUUAACCUGUUAGGGCUACUGUAACAAAAUGCCACAGAUUGGGUGGCUUAUAAAAAUAGAAAUUUAUUUCUCACAGUUCUGGUGGCCAGCAUGGCUGGGUGAGGGCCCUCUUCUGGGUUGCAGACUUCUCGCUGUGUCCUCCCAUGGUGGAAGGGAUGGGGUCUCUUUUAUAAGUGCGCUAAUCCCAUCAUGAGGGCUUCAUCCUCAUGAUCCCUAAUCACCUCCCAACAGCUAAUACCAUCACCUUUGGGGGUGAGGACAUCAAUGUAUGAAUUUGGGGGAAACACAAACAUCCAGAUGGUGGCAGAUGGUGUGAAGGAAAAAGGCUAUGUCAGUGUUCUUUACGUGUGUUCAUACCAGUCUCUAACCUUAAUUGUAAAGUAAAGAAAGAAAUUGACCUGAACUGCCAAUUCAUUUGGGAAUUUAUAUUGGAAGCCCGUUUUCUAACUGUAACAGUUGGAUCUGAUAUGUAAAAUUUGUUUUUGUUAGCUGGAUCAUCAAAUUAUUAUAAAUAAUUUAUAAUUAACAUGUUCAUUAAAUGUUUAUCCAAAAAAUAA
Molecule: long non-coding RNA, 2588 nt
Organism: Orcinus orca (killer whale)
Lineage: Eukaryota; Metazoa; Chordata; Mammalia; Artiodactyla; Delphinidae
Exons: 2
Source: RefSeq, a predicted model, not a curated record